CGCCGCUAAUGCUCAAUUUUUAGCGGCGUUUUUUGUACAAAUGCCGCUAAAAGUGCCGCUAAAAGCCUGUUUUGCUGUAGUGAUUCCAGUUGUGUAUGCACAUGCUUACAUAGAUGUUAUAUAGUUUCAGUUUUAACAGAAAAGAUCUUACCCCACUUCUACACACCAUAAUGAGAGUUUCCCAAAAAUGCAACCACCAACGCACCAGAUUGUGGAUUAAACACCAAUGUUUUGCAGAUUAACU
RNAcentral lists this long non-coding RNA (244 nucleotides) under Gossypium barbadense (sea-island cotton). Its description in RNAcentral is "long non-coding RNA (GBAR_LNC014830)". Lineage: Eukaryota; Viridiplantae; Streptophyta; Magnoliopsida; Malvales; Malvaceae. The record is from RNAcentral.